Long non-coding RNA from Cheilinus undulatus (humphead wrasse), 243 nucleotides. RefSeq lists it as uncharacterized. NCBI's taxonomy places the organism in Eukaryota, Metazoa, Chordata, Actinopteri, Labriformes, Labridae. The record is from RefSeq and is a predicted model, not a curated record. The transcript is spliced from 3 exons.
CACAGACAACUGCAACAAUGACACUCCAGCCCAUCCUGCUCUUAAACUAAACGGUCUGAAGUGUGUGACCUGCACUGGCCAAAAUGUCUGCAACACAACAGAGUGUGUGGACACAGAGGACCACUGCUUCAGUGGAUCAGUGACUGUUGGUGGCAAGACCUCCUCACGCCACGGCUGUGCAUCUGCAAACCUGUGUAAAAAUAAUUCUGCGUGGGCAACUGAGAAUUUUUUUGGGUUCUUUUG